AUUGAACGCUGGCGGCAUGCUUUACACAUGCAAGUCGAACGGUAACAGGCCUUCGGGUGCUGACGAGUGGCGAACGGGUGAGUAAUGCAUCGGAACGUACCCAGAGGUGGGGGAUAACGCAGCGAAAGCUGUGCUAAUACCGCAUGUGAUCUGAGGAUGAAAGCGGGGGACCGAGCAGCAAUGUUUGGCCUCGCGCCUUUGGAGCGGCCGAUGUCGGAUUAGCUAGUUGGUGGGGUAAAGGCCUACCAAGGCGACGAUCCGUAGCUGGUCUGAGAGGACGACCAGCCACACUAGGACUGAGACACGGCCCAGACUCCUACGGGAGGCAGCAGUGGGGAAUUUUGGACAAUGGGCGCAAGCCUGAUCCAGCAAUGCCGCGUGCGGGAAGAAGGCCUUCGGGUUGUAAACCGCUUUUGGCAGGAACGAAACGGUGUCCGCUAAUACCGGGCGCUAAUGACGGUACCUGCAGAAGAAGCACCGGCUAACUACGUG
RNAcentral lists this ribosomal RNA (492 nucleotides) under uncultured bacterium. RNAcentral's name for it is "partial 16S ribosomal RNA". It matches the Rfam family "Bacterial small subunit ribosomal RNA", at positions 29 to 507 of the family's 1533-position model. The record is from RNAcentral.